RNAcentral lists this long non-coding RNA (1085 nucleotides) under Suricata suricatta (meerkat). Its description in RNAcentral is "lncRNA (ENSSSUG00005011003.1)". The record is from RNAcentral. Lineage: Eukaryota; Metazoa; Chordata; Mammalia; Carnivora; Herpestidae.
GGGCGGGGAUGAGCCGGGCAGGGUACGGGCCACCAACCUCCAGACGAGCUCGGACUGCAGAGGCCCAGCUAGUUUUUCCCCAAGGAGCACUGAAUGUGUUUCGUCAAACACAGAAGGCUUACAGGUUACGUCAUCGGUAGUUAAUGGUGAAAGGCUGGAUGUGAGGACUCAAGGAUGCGAGGUCGGCUUUAGGGCUGUCCUGGAGGAAGCCCACACGUAGGCCUCUGCUUUCAUUAGGAAUAACGGUUUAAUGUAAUUGAGAGCUAUGCACCAGACCCUGUUCAAAACAUUCCCAACGGAUUAGCUCAUUUAGUCCUCAUAACAACUCUAUGAGGCACCUAAGAUCAUCCCCAUUUCACAGAUGAGAAAACAGACUCAGAAACACGGAGGCAUCUCCCUGAGGUCCAGCCACAUGAAGAGGCACUUGGGUCCUGGUCUGACUCUACAACUCCAGUUCUACCCAACAGGGCUAAGACACUGGAGAGAAGUUUUGCAAGACCAGAUGGUUAGUUCUCAAUGCCCCCCAAAUAUUGUUGCAUCUCAAGAUCUUCGGGUGGACGGCAGGAGCCGAGUGCUUGCUUUAAAAUCCCGACUUACCACUGCGUGGUUUCGUACGACUGUGACAGAGCACACAAAUCUUCAUUUUGAACAAGCUUCUCGAUGGUUCUAAAGAAGCAAGUCAGCCGAUUGCAUUUGGAUCUUCAUGAAAGCUCAAUAUGCCUAGAUCACCUCUGCGGAGGGUAACCCAGGCAAAGAACGUUUGGGAUGAGAGACUACUGGUGUACCUAUUUUUAAAACACCAAUUGGCCUCUAUGGGAGGCCCUACAGAAGUAUGCCCCUUCUCCCGGGCGGUGCCAACUCUUCGUGGUUUCUGGCUUGACCCCCGAAAGCUGCAUAGCCCCCGGAUGGCUCCCUUAGAACGAGGCAUUGCGAUCCCACCCCAAGUCGCAGGGGGCGCCAUUGAGUCUCGUUCUCACGGGAUAGGGGCUCCGCUUCCUCUCUACGCUGGCGCGGCAAGGAAGUCCUCACUUCCGGUCUUGCGCGCGCAGCGUGUGAGCCUAACUGGUGCCCGACGACCAGCAUGA